AAGCAUAUCAAUAAGCGGAGGAAAAGAAACUAACAAGGAUUCCCCUAGUAACUGCGAGUGAAGCGGGAAAAGCUCAAAUUUAAAAUCUGGUGGUCUUUGGCCAUCCGAGUUGUAAUUUAGAGAAGCGUCUUCCGCGCUGGACCGUGCACAAGUCUCCUGGAACGGAGCGUCGUAGAGGGUGAGAAUCCCGUCUUUGGCAUGGACACACCAGGGCUUUUGCGAUGCGCUCUCGAAGAGUCGAGUUGUUUGGGAAUGCAGCUCAAAAUGGGUGGUGAACUCCAUCUAAAGCUAAAUAUUGGCGAGAGACCGAUAGCGAACAAGUACCGUGAGGGAAAGAUGAAAAGCACUUUGGAAAGAGAGUGAAACAGUACGUGAAAUUGUUGAAAGGGAAACGCUUGAAGUCAGUCGCGUCGUCCGAGACUCAGCCUCGCCUCGGCUUGGCGUACUUCUCGGCCCGACGGGUCAGCAUCAAUUUCGCCUCUCGGAUAAUGGCGAGGGAAAAGUGACACCAUUACGGUGUGUUAUAGUCUCUCGUCGCAUGCGAGGGUCGGGAUUGAGGAACUCAGCACGCGCCCUCGGGCGUCGGGGUUUUUGCCCACGAUACGUGCUUAGGAUGUUGGCGUAAUGGCUUUAAACGACCCG
This 642-nucleotide ribosomal RNA is filed under the name uncultured fungus. Its description in RNAcentral is "eukaryotic LSU rRNA". It matches the Rfam family "Eukaryotic large subunit ribosomal RNA", at positions 36 to 651 of the family's 3401-position model. Lineage: Eukaryota; Fungi. The record is from RNAcentral.